CCUACGGGGUGCAGCAGUGGGGGAUAUUGCACAAUGGGGGGAACCCUGAUGCAGCGACGCCGCGUGGGUGAAGGAGCGUUUCGGCGCGUAAAGCCCUAUCGGCAGGGAAGAAGAGGACGGUAUCUGACCAAGAAGCCCCGGCUAACAACGUGCCAGCAGACGCGGGAAUACGUAGGGGGCAAGAGCUAUCCGGAUUUACUGGGUGUAAAGGGGGCGCAGACGGCAAUGCAAGCCAGGAGUGAAAGCUCGGGGCCCAACCCCGGAACUGCUCUUGGAACUGCAUGGCUGGAGUACAGGAGGGGCAGACGGAAUUCCUAGUGUAGCGGUGAAAUGCGUAGAUAUUAGGAGGAACACCAGUGGCGAAGGCGGCCUGCUGGACUGUGACUGACGGUGAGGCGCGAAGGCGUGGGGAGCAAACAGGAUUAGAUACCCGAGUAGUC
RNAcentral lists this ribosomal RNA (440 nucleotides) under uncultured bacterium. Its description in RNAcentral is "partial 16S ribosomal RNA". It matches the Rfam family "Bacterial small subunit ribosomal RNA", at positions 338 to 795 of the family's 1533-position model. The record is from RNAcentral.